UGUGAAAUAUAGUGGGAGUAACUUUCACUUCCCUUUACUUUUUCAUCUCACCCGAGCACGGUUACUCUCUGUUGUCUCUGUUUCAUUUUCUGAACUUUUUUUUUUGUUUCCCCUCCUUAGUGAAUAGUCAUGUCCAAACCAUCGUGCCUGGUUCUGAAGAACUUCAUAGGUGGAAAGUUUGUCCCAGGUCGGCGCCACAUUGAAUCAUACGACCCGUCUACUGGGGAAGUGUACUGCAAAGUACCUGACAGCAGCAAAGAGGAGGUGGAGGCUGCUGUGGCUGCAGCUAAAGAUGCCUUCCCAGACUGGUCCGCCCGCAGCUCUGAGCAGCGAGCCAAGAUCCUCAACAAGCUGGCGGACCUGAUCGAGGCCCACUUGGAGGAGUUUGCCCAAGCUGAGUCCAGAGACCAAGGUAAAACCAUUACAUUUGCCCGAACUGUGGACAUUCCACGCUCGGUGUACAACUUUCGUUUCUUUGCAUCGUCGGUGCUUCACCACACCAACGACUGCAGCCAGAUGGACCACAUGGGCUGCCUCAACUACACCAUCCGCUGCCCCGUGGGAGUAGCUGGUCUGAUCAGCCCUUGGAAUCUCCCUCUCUACCUGCUGACCUGGAAGAUCGCUCCUGCCAUUGUGACUGGAAACACAGUGGUGGCCAAACCCAGUGAGAUGACGUCAGUGACGGCCUGGAUGAUGUGCAAGUUAAUGCAGGAGGCUGGAGUUCCUCCAGGAGUGGUCAACAUCGUAUUCGGCACAGGUCCCACAGCAGGUGACGCUCUUGUUGGCCAUCCUGAGGUCCCUCUCAUCUCCUUCACUGGUUCCACACUGACUGCCCAGCGCAUUACAGAGCGCUGUGCCCCCUACUGUAAGAAACUUUCACUGGAGCUGGGAGGUAAAAACCCUGCUGUUGUUUUUGCUGAUGCAGACCUGGACAAGUGCAUCGAGACCACGGUUCGUUCCAGUUUCUCCAACCAGGGAGAAAUCUGUUUGUGCACCAGUAGAAUAUUUGUAGAGAGAAGUAUCUACCCUGAGUUCUUAGAAAGAUUUGUGGUCGCAGCCAAGAAGUGGAAGACGGGUGUACCCUCUGACCCUGCCAACAACAAUGGAGCUCUCAUCAGUAAAGAGCACUUAGAAAAGGUUCGCAGCUUUGUGGCAGUCGCUAAAUCUGAGGGUGCUACCAUCCACUGUGGGGAGGGAGUGGACCACCUGGACCUGCCCCAGGAGAACAAGUCAGGCUACUACAUGCCGGCCACUGUCAUCUCAGGGGUCUCUGACAGCUCCCAUGUGAUGCAGGAGGAGAUCUUUGGCCCCGUCACCUGUGUCAGUCCCUUUGACACGGAGGAUGAAGCCGUCCGCAGGGCCAACGGAGUGCGUUAUGGCCUCGCAGCCACCGUGUGGUCAAAAGAUGUGGGGAAAGUCCAUCGGCUGGCCAAGCAGCUCCAGGCAGGACCUUUGUGUGGGCACACACCUCCUCACCUUACUCGUCCUUUUGUUUUGUGGCUCCUUCCUGCGUUGCGAUUGGUCCACCGGAGACACACCACCUCCUGGAGCUGAGCCACAACGCAUCGGACAUAUCACAGAGCACACAAACAGGGCCGGCCUCUACUCCCUACAAGAGCUCCUGCGACUGUCAAGGCACGCCAAGACCAGUCAGUCACCGAGUAGUUUAACCAGACCGCCCGUCUGCAGACCUCAUCUGCGCACCCAUUGGUUAAAGGGAAGUCCUGCGCAGCCAAUGAACUCGCGAUGAGGUUUUAUGGCCCGACUGGACUGAAAGUACGUGAAUGAUGAUGAAGUUGUGAACUACAGGCACCAGGUCAGGAGUGAGACCAGUUACUGUGGAAACAGAGGACACGUCAUGGGUGAGCGCCGUGACAGUGCUCACCCCGGCCAACAGACAGGAGGGACGGGAGACAAACAACAACAACAAGUGUCCCGAAUCUAUUUGUCAGAAGGCUGUCACCUGGUGGAAAAAUCAUCCUUUCAGUCGUCAUCCCCAGAAUUCUGCAAAGAAGGAAUUCUGUGAUGAAAACACUGCUUGAAGGAAGUGACUUAAAUGGAGGAAUCACAAACUGAUGAAGCCCCUUGGAUGAGAGACGAAACAUCUUCAAUUUACUUGAGACCGACUGGUGACUGAGACGGCGCCUCACCUCCACCCUUUUUUGCUACAACAGAUGCCCUGACAUACCAUUCACAUUCCACAUCAAAUAGGACGACUCCAAAAAGUUUGAAGACAAAUUGUGUGUUGUUUCUGGUGUGACUGAUGAAGUCCUGAGUGAUGUGGUUUGUUGAAGCAUAUUUAUGGAGUUGUGGCAUCAACUGUUUGAACCAUUGCCUUCUAUUUUCCAGGUUGUUAUUGUCCACAAUUACAACCUAUAAAAAUAUUUGAUUCAAUCUGCAAUCUUUGGUCAACAUUUUUACAUUUCUUUUAUUACUCUGUCUAGGUUAUUUAUAUUUAAUAUAGCACUUUACACCCACUAUCUUCACUUUUGCACUUGGUGCUGCAAAUGCUUACAUUUAAGAAUUUUUUUUCUAUUGCUAAAACCUAAAUAUAUUUCUCUUGUUGCAUUUGAAAUCCUCCUACAGGAGCAGCAGUAAUGGCAGUUAGUUCCCCCUGGGGAUCAAUAAAGUAUUAAUCUACAAAAAUCACCCAUCAAUUUCUGUCAUUUUAGAAAUGUUUCAUUUUUGGUCGUUCUCCUCUUGUCCCGUUGACUUUUGACCCCUGCGUAGCUGCACUUUUGUCACCAUGGGGGUUUCUGAGUUAAAUCAUUGGUGUGGCGCCAGAUAGGAAGCAGCUGACCGCUGUGCGGGAAAUGGACAAUAAAGGACACACUGAACCUCAGGCUACAAGUGUGUGUUUGCGUGUGUAAAUAUGCAGGCCAUUGUUUUCUAUGGUGCCAUUUAAGGAGGUAGCGUAGAGUGAAUUCCCAUCUUACAUUCAUGACUUGA
Molecule: RNA transcript, 2949 nt
Organism: Cynoglossus semilaevis (tongue sole)
Lineage: Eukaryota; Metazoa; Chordata; Actinopteri; Pleuronectiformes; Cynoglossidae
Gene: aldh8a1
Gene name: aldehyde dehydrogenase 8 family, member A1
Exons: 16
Source: RefSeq, a predicted model, not a curated record